GACAGGAGGGUGCAAACGUUGCUCGGAAUCACUGGGCGUAAAGGGCGUGUAGGCGGGACAGUAAGUCGGGCGUGAAAUCCCUGGGCUCAACCCAGGAACUGCACUCGAAACUACUAUUCUUGAGUGUCGGAGAGGAAAGCGGAAUUCCUGGUGUAGAGGUGAAAUUCGUAGAUAUCAGGAGGAACACCAGUGGCGAAGGCGGCUUUCUGGACGAUAACUGACGCUGAGA
This 229-nucleotide ribosomal RNA is filed under the name uncultured bacterium. RNAcentral describes it as "partial 16S ribosomal RNA". It matches the Rfam family "Bacterial small subunit ribosomal RNA", at positions 522 to 751 of the family's 1533-position model. The record is from RNAcentral.